GAGUUUGAUCCUGGCUCAGGACGAACGCUGGCGGCGUGCUUAACACAUGCAAGUCGAACGGAAAGGCCCCUUUCGGGGGGUGCUCGAGUGGCGAACGGGUGAGUAACACGUGGGUGAUCUGCCCUGCACUUCGGGAUAAGCUUGGGAAACUGGGUCUAAUACCGGAUAGGACUCCGAGAUGCAUGUCUUGGGGUGGAAAGUUUUUAACGGUGUGGGAUGGGCCCGCGGCCUAUCAGCUUGUUGGUGGGGUGAUGGCCUACCAAGGCGACGACGGGUAGCCGGCCUGAGAGGGUGUCCGGCCACACUGGGACUGAGAUACGGCCCAGACUCCUACGGGAGGCAGCAGUGGGGAAUAUUGCACAAUGGGCGCAAGCCUGAUGCAGCGACGCCGCGUGGGGGAUGACGGCCUUCGGGUUGUAAACCUCUUUCACCAUCGACGAAGGCCCGCUUUUGGUGGGUUGACGGUAGGUGGAGAAGAAGCACCGGCCAACUACGUGCCAGCGUCCGCGUUAAUACAUAGGGUGCUAGCGUUCGUCGGGAAUUACUUGGCGUAAAAUAAUUCA
This 563-nucleotide ribosomal RNA is filed under the name uncultured Mycobacterium sp. RNAcentral describes it as "bacterial SSU rRNA". It matches the Rfam family "Bacterial small subunit ribosomal RNA", at positions 9 to 572 of the family's 1533-position model. Lineage: Bacteria; Bacillati; Actinomycetota; Actinomycetes; Mycobacteriales; Mycobacteriaceae. The record is from RNAcentral.